RNAcentral lists this ribosomal RNA (433 nucleotides) under uncultured Lachnospiraceae bacterium. Its description in RNAcentral is "partial 16S ribosomal RNA". It matches the Rfam family "Bacterial small subunit ribosomal RNA", at positions 341 to 792 of the family's 1533-position model. The record is from RNAcentral. Lineage: Bacteria; Bacillati; Bacillota; Clostridia; Lachnospirales; Lachnospiraceae.
ACGGGAGGCAGCAGUGGGGAAUAUUGGACAGUGGGGGAAACCCUGAUCCAGCGACGCCGCGUGAGUGAAGAAGUAUUUCGGUAUGUAAAGCUCUAUCAGCAGGGAAGAUAAUGACGGUACCUGACUAAGAAGCCCCGGCUAACUACGUGCCAGCAGCCGCGGUAAUACGUAGGGGGCAAGCGUUAUCCGGAUUUACUGGGUGUAAAGGGAGCGUAGACGGCAAGGCAAGUCUGAUGUGAAAACCCGGGGCUAAACCUCGGGACUGCAUUGGAAAAUGUCUAGCUAGAGUGCAGGAGAGGUAAGUGGAAUUCCUAGUGUAGCGGUGAAAUGCGUAGAAAUUAGGGGGAACACAGUGGCGAAGGCGGCUUACUGGACUGUAACUGACGUCGAGGCUCGAAAGCGUGGGGAGCAAACAGGAUUAGAUACCCUGGUA